This 332-nucleotide unclassified non-coding RNA is filed under the name uncultured Actinomycetes bacterium. Its description in RNAcentral is "uncultured actinobacterium contains 16S-23S intergenic spacer region". The record is from RNAcentral. Lineage: Bacteria; Bacillati; Actinomycetota; Actinomycetes.
UCCGGUUUGGCACCGGCAGUCUCCCCAGAGUUCCCGGCAUGACCCGCUGGCAACUGAGGACAAGGGUUGCGCUCGUUGCACCACCUGUAUACCGGCCACAAGGGGGGCACCAUCUCUGGCGCUUUCCGGUAUAUGUCAAGCCUAGGUAAGGUUCUUCGCGUUGCAUCGAAUUAAGCCACAUGCUCCACCGCUUGUGUGAGCCCCCGUCAAUUCCUUUGAGUUUUAGCCUUGCGGCCGUACUCCCCAGGCGGGGCGCUUAAUGCGUUAGCUGCGGCACGGAGGACGUGGAAUGUCCCCCACACCUAGCGCCCAACGUUUACGGCGUGGACUAC